UCCACAGUCAUGGUGGUUUGGUCACU
This 26-nucleotide non-coding RNA is filed under the name Rattus norvegicus (Norway rat). The record is from RNAcentral. Lineage: Eukaryota; Metazoa; Chordata; Mammalia; Rodentia; Muridae.